CCAAAUGGGAUUCCUUAAGUAAUUGCGAAUGAACAAGGAAAUGCUCAGCUUGAAAAAUGGGGCCUUUGGCUUUGAAUUGUAAUUUUGAAAUGUAUUGCCAAUGGAGGCGCAGGUGCAAGCCUAUUGAAAGAAAGCGUCAAUGAGGGUGAAAUUCCUUUUUGUCAUUUGCAGUCCUCCGUGCACGGUAUAUAUUUGACGAGUCACACUCCUCGGCAUUGGAAUGCAAAGUGGGUGGUAAAUUCCAUGUAAAGGUAAAUAUAUUAUUGAGACUGAUAGCAAACAAGUACCAUGAGGGAAAUAUGAAAAGGACUUUGAAAAGGGAAUUAAAAGAGUCUGCAUUUGCUGAACAGAAAGCAAACAGAAUUGAUGUGCUUGGUGAGAUUGUUGUGCCCACUCUGUCAUUUAUGUCGGAUGUGGGUGCGAUGGUUCUUACCUUGAAUGUCAGCUUCUAUUUCUGCAAAUCAUUACCCUUGCACAUGAAUGGUAAUUUGCCUGCGGGUAUUGGAAUGUGUGUGUUUGCAAUGAUUUGUGAUUUGAUGCAUGUGGUUGGUGGACUUUGUAUGUGCUGUUUUGCCAACGGGGAAGGGACUCUUCCUUGAGCACUGCAAGCCCUUGCACAU
RNAcentral lists this ribosomal RNA (620 nucleotides) under Alexandrium minutum. Its description in RNAcentral is "LSU rRNA". It matches the Rfam family "Eukaryotic large subunit ribosomal RNA", at positions 65 to 701 of the family's 3401-position model. The record is from RNAcentral. Lineage: Eukaryota; Dinophyceae; Gonyaulacales; Pyrocystaceae.